Molecule: transfer RNA, 78 nt
Filed under: Candidatus Bathyarchaeota archaeon
Lineage: Archaea; Thermoproteati; Candidatus Bathyarchaeota
Description: tRNA-Arg
Rfam family: tRNA
About the family: Transfer RNA (tRNA) molecules are approximately 80 nucleotides in length. Their secondary structure includes four short double-helical elements and three loops (D, anti-codon, and T loops). Further hydrogen bonds mediate the characteristic L-shaped molecular structure. tRNAs have two regions of fundamental functional importance: the anti-codon, which is responsible for specific mRNA codon recognition, and the 3' end, to which the tRNAs corresponding amino acid is attached (by aminoacyl-tRNA synthetases). tRNAs cope with the degeneracy of the genetic code in two manners: having more than one tRNA (with a specific anti-codon) for a particular amino acid; and 'wobble' base-pairing, i.e. permitting non-standard base-pairing at the 3rd anti-codon position.
Source: RNAcentral
GGGCCCGUGGCCUAGCCAGGAUAGGGCAUCGGCCUCCUAAGCCGAGGGUCCCCGGUUCAAAUCCGGGCGGGCCCGCCA